UACGUAGGGUGCAAGCGUUGUCCGGAAUUAUUGGGCGUAAAGAGCUCGUAGGCGGUUCGUCGCGUCUGCUGUGAAAACUCGGGGCUUAACCCCGGGCCUGCAGUGGGUACGGGCAGGCUAGAGUUCGGUAGGGGAGAUCGGAAUUCCUGGUGUAGCGGUGAAAUGCGCAGAUAUCAGGAGGAACACCGGUGGCGAAGGCGGAUCUCUGGGCCGAUACUGACGCUGAGGAGCGAAAGCGUGGGGAGCGAACAGG
RNAcentral lists this ribosomal RNA (253 nucleotides) under uncultured bacterium. RNAcentral describes it as "partial 16S ribosomal RNA". It matches the Rfam family "Bacterial small subunit ribosomal RNA", at positions 524 to 776 of the family's 1533-position model. The record is from RNAcentral.